This is a long non-coding RNA of Meriones unguiculatus (Mongolian gerbil), 588 nucleotides long. RefSeq lists it as uncharacterized. The transcript is spliced from 3 exons. NCBI's taxonomy places the organism in Eukaryota, Metazoa, Chordata, Mammalia, Rodentia, Muridae. The record is from RefSeq and is a predicted model, not a curated record.
GAACAUCUUGCUUGGCAUAAUAGCAGUGUAGCACACAGGGUCCAACUAAGUACUGUUGGUGAUUUCCUCUUCCCCCAGCAACUUGCAAGGCAACUUCUGACACCAUGGAAUCUGGAAAGCAGCGAGAAAUCUCCAGGAUAAUGACGCUGGGUGAAAUAUAAGAAAACAAGACCAGAAAAAAGAUCUGCCCUGCAAUCGGAAAAUCCGAGUUAAAGUCAAGUUAUAUGACAUCAUGCGUCUACUAGCCCCUCCCUUGAUCUCAGUCGCUUCAUCUGCAAAUUGGAAAAAUAAUCAUUUCCCCACUUACGUCAUGUUGCUGUGGUGAGGUUUGACGAAAUGAAAAAGCAAGAAGUAUGCAGCAGCUAAUCAAAACACCAGAGACUCUUCUCACCAACAGGCCAACAAUACCUCAGCUAAAUACAGACCAUGCAGAUCCUCCUAAACGAACAUUGUGUUUGCAUCUUGAUAAACCCACAGGAAAUAGAAAAUGCCUUCAGUAUAUUUAGCCUUCAGAAACUUCUACCUGAGCCUAGCCUGCUUUCAACAUGCCUACAGUAUGACUAUUAGUCUAAGUUGUGUGAUAUCAAC